Molecule: ribosomal RNA, 465 nt
Filed under: Vreelandella stevensii
Lineage: Bacteria; Pseudomonadati; Pseudomonadota; Gammaproteobacteria; Oceanospirillales; Halomonadaceae
Description: partial 16S ribosomal RNA
Rfam family: Bacterial small subunit ribosomal RNA
Source: RNAcentral
CCUACGGGAGGCAGCAGUGGGGAAUAUUGGACAAUGGGGGGAACCCUGAUCCAGCCAUGCCGCGUGUGUGAAGAAGGCCCUCGGGUUGUAAAGCACUUUCAGUGAGGAAGAACGCCUGGUGGUUAAUACCCAUCAGGAAAGACAUCACUCACAGAAGAAGCACCGGCUAACUCCGUGCCAGCAGCCGCGGUAAUACGGAGGGUGCGAGCGUUAAUCGGAAUUACUGGGCGUAAAGCGCGCGUAGGUGGCUUGAUAAGCCGGUUGUGAAAGCCCCGGGCUCAACCUGGGAACGGCAUCCGGAACUGUCAAGCUAGAGUGCAGGAGAGGAAGGUAGAAUUCCCGGUGUAGCGGUGAAAUGCGUAGAGAUCGGGAGGAAUACCAGUGGCGAAGGCGGCAUUCUGGACUGACACUGACACUGAGGUGCGAAAGCGUGGGUAGCAAACAGGAUUAGAUACCCUUGUAGUC